This 499-nucleotide ribosomal RNA is filed under the name uncultured bacterium. RNAcentral's name for it is "partial 16S ribosomal RNA". It matches the Rfam family "Bacterial small subunit ribosomal RNA", at positions 30 to 523 of the family's 1533-position model. The record is from RNAcentral.
AUUGAACGCUGGCGGCAUGCCUUACACAUGCAAGUCGAACGGCAGCACGGGAGCAAUCCUGGUGGCGAGUGGCGAACGGGUGAGUAAUAUAUCGGAACGUGCCCAGUCGUGGGGGAUAACGCAGCGAAAGCUGUGCUAAUACCGCAUACGAUCUAGGAUGAAAGCGGGGGAUCGCAAGACCUCGCGCGAUUGGAGCGGCCGAUAUCAGAUUAGCUAGUUGGUGGGGUAAAGGCCCACCAAGGCGACGAUCUGUAGCUGGUCUGAGAGGACGACCAGCCACACUGGAACUGAGACACGGUCCAGACUCCUACGGGAGGCAGCAGUGGGGAAUUUUGGACAAUGGGCGAAAGCCUGAUCCAGCCAUUCCGCGUGCAGGAUGAAGGCCCUCGGGUUGUAAACUGCUUUUGUACAGAACGAAAAGGUCUCUAUUAAUACUAGGGGCUCAUGACGGUACUGUAAGAAUAAGCACCGGCUAACUACGUGCCAGCCGCCGCAGUAA